GCCUAAAGCGUCCGUAGCCUGUUCUAUAAGUUUCCGGUUAAAUCCACUAGCUCAACUAAUGGGCUGCCGAAAAUACUGUAGAACUAGGGAGUGGGAGAGGUAGACGGUAUUCGGUAGGAAGGGGUAAAAUCCUUUGAUCUAUUGAGGACCACCUGUGGCGAAGGCGGUCUACCAGAACACGUUCGACGGUGAGGGAUGAAAGCUGGGGGAGCAAACCGGAUUAGAUACCCGGGUAGUCCCAGCUGUAAACUAUGUAAACUCAGUGAUGCAUUGGCUUGUGGCCAAUGCAGUGUUGCAGGGAAGCCGUUAAGUUUACCGCCUGGGAAGUACGUACGCAAGUAUGAAACUUAAAGGAAUUGGCGGGGGAGCACCACAAGGGGUGAAGCCUGCGGUUCAAUUGGAGUCAACGCCAGAAAUCUUACCCGGAGAGACAGCAGAAUGAAGGUCAAGCUGAAGACUUUACCAGACAAGCUGAGAGGUGGUGCAUGGCCGUCGCCAGCUCGUGCCGUGAGAUGUCCUGUUAAGUCAGGUAACGAGCGAGAUCCCUGCCUCUAGUUGCCACCAUUACUCUCAGGAGUAGUGGGGCGAAUUAGCGGGACCGCCGCAGUUAAUGCGGAGGAAGGAAGGGGCCACGGCAGGUCAGUAUGCCCCGAA
RNAcentral lists this ribosomal RNA (654 nucleotides) under uncultured archaeon. Its description in RNAcentral is "bacterial SSU rRNA". It matches the Rfam family "Archaeal small subunit ribosomal RNA", at positions 508 to 1160 of the family's 1478-position model. The record is from RNAcentral.